RNAcentral lists this ribosomal RNA (423 nucleotides) under Triticum aestivum (bread wheat). RNAcentral's name for it is "partial small subunit ribosomal RNA". Lineage: Eukaryota; Viridiplantae; Streptophyta; Magnoliopsida; Poales; Poaceae. The record is from RNAcentral.
AUGUGGUGUUGCCAGCAGAACAAGUCGGAGAAUCGCGCUUGCACCCGCUGUGGAGAGAUAGGGCACAGUACCAGUACACAUGGUCUCAGUUGCUCAAGCUGUGACGAGUAUCAUGAGGAUGGAGAGUGCCGAUUGGGCGGUGUUAAAUGCUUUCUUUGUGAGUGUCAGGAUCAUUAUCUUGCUAAGUGCCCCUUGAAUUCAGUAUUGACUGAGGCAUUUCAGAGUCAGAGAGAGAACUUCCAAGCUGCUCUGCGGCUUGCACUAUCAAAACAACGCGACCCAUCAUCUACACCUCCCAAGUGUUCCGCAAAAUCAGAAGGAAAAGUACUGGCCGCCAACAAGCCUAAAUCGAUUGUCCGAUGUGUAAGGUGUGGUGAGGAAGGGCACAGGCGCAAGAAGUGUCCGUUGAAACAUCAAUCGUAG